GAUGAACGCUGGCGGCGUGCCUAAUACAUGCAAGUCGAGCGAACGGACGAGAAGCUUGCUUCUCUGAUGUUAACGGCGGACGGGUGAGUAACACGUGGAUAACCUACCUAUAAGACUGGGAUAACUUCGGGAAACCGGAGCUAAUACCGGAUAAUAUUUUGAACCGCAUGGUUCAAAAGUAAAAGACGGUCUUGCUGUCACUUAUAGAUGGAUCCGCGCUGCAUUAGCUAGUUGGUAAGGUAACGGCUUACCAAGGCAACGAUGCAUAGCCGACCUGAGAGGGUGAACGGCCACACUGGAACUGAGACAAGGUCCAGACUCCGACGGGAGGCAGCAGUAGGGAAUCUUCCGAAAUGGGCGAAAGCCUGAAGGAGCAACGCCGCGUGAGUGAUGAAGGUCUUCGGAUCGUAAAACUCUGUUAUUAGGGAAGAACAUAUGUGUAAGUAACUGUGCACAUCUUGACGGUACCUAAUCAGAAAGCCACGGCUAACUACGUG
This 497-nucleotide ribosomal RNA is filed under the name uncultured bacterium. RNAcentral's name for it is "partial 16S ribosomal RNA". It matches the Rfam family "Bacterial small subunit ribosomal RNA", at positions 28 to 507 of the family's 1533-position model. The record is from RNAcentral.